AUGUCUCCCUCCGCGCCGCCGGCCGCCCUCCGCCUCGCGAGCCCGCCCAAAGCCCUCCUCCCCGCGCUCUCACCGUCCUCCGCCCGCUCCCCCCGCCUCUCCAUGUCGACGACCCCCUCUCGUCCCCGCGCCACACCGCUCGCCGCGACAGCUGGCGGAGGCGGCGCGGCCCCUUCCCUCCUCGCCGCGGACCCGGGCCACCGCGACUCCGUCAUCCUCGCCGCGCGCGGUGCCAUGACGAACUGCCUCGGCGAGACCCACCUCGACCUCGUCGUCCCCGGGCUCCGCCUCGCCGCCAAGGGCAAGGUGAGGGAUGUCUACGAGAGCGGGGAGCACCUGGUGCUGGUGACCACCGACCGUCAGAGCGCGUUCGACCGUGUCCUCGCCUCCAUCCCAUUCAAAGGGCAGGUUCUUAACGAGACAAGCCUUUGGUGGUUCAAUAGGACCAGUCACAUCACUCCAAAUGCAGUGGUCUCUAGUCCUGACAGGAAUGUGACAAUUGCCAAAAGCUGCUCAGUUUUUCCAGUUGAAUUUGUUGUGAGGGGAUUCGUUACUGGAAGCACUGAUACAUCACUAUGGACAGUUUAUAACAAGGGCGUGAGGAAUUACUGUGGAAAUGCCAUUCCUGAUGGCAUGGUAAAGAAUCAAAAGCUGCCAGCAAAUAUCCUCACGCCAACAACUAAAGCUGCUGAUCAUGAUGUCCCUAUCACUCCUGAUGAGAUAGUCAAGUCAGGGCUGAUGUCCAAGGAUGAUUUUGAUGAGGCAAGAAGCAAAGCCUUAAGCUUAUUUGAGUGUGGACAGAAAGUGGCAUUAGAGAAUGGAGUAAUUCUAGUUGACACAAAGUAUGAGUUUGGAAAAACAGCUGAUGGGACAGUUGUGUUAAUUGACGAGGUACAUACACCUGACUCCAGCAGAUAUUGGAUUGCUAAUUCAUAUGAAGAGAGAUUCAAAUCUGGCCUUGAACCUGAAAAUGUUGACAAGGAGUUCUUAAGGCUGUGGUUCAAGAAUAAUUGCAAUCCAUAUGAAGAUAAGGUUCUUCCAGAAGCUCCAGAAGAAUUAGUUUCUGAACUUGCUUGGCGGUACAUAUUCCUGUUUGAAACAAUUACAAAUACGAAGUUUGAGAUCCCAGAAACACAGGAACCGAUCCAUGAGAGGAUAUCAAGGAACGUGGCACAAGCCUUACGGAAUUUAUAG
This 1194-nucleotide ribosomal RNA is filed under the name Triticum aestivum (bread wheat). RNAcentral describes it as "partial small subunit ribosomal RNA". The record is from RNAcentral. Lineage: Eukaryota; Viridiplantae; Streptophyta; Magnoliopsida; Poales; Poaceae.